AGCACAGCAGUAGCAAUACUGUGGGUGGCGAGUGGCGGACGGGUGAGUAAUGCAUCGGGAUCUACCCUGACGUGGGGGAUAACCUCGGGAAACCGGGACUAAUACCGCAUACGUCCUACGGGAGAAAGCGGGGGACCUUCGGACCUCGCGCGGCAGGACGAACCGAUGUGCGAUUAGCUAGUUGGCGGGGUAAUGGCCCACCAAGGCGACGAUCGCUAGCUGGUCUGAGAGGAUGAUCAGCCACACUGGGACUGAGACACGGCCCAGACUCCUACGGGAGGCAGCAGUGGGGAAUAUUGGACAAUGGGCGCAAGCCUGAUCCAGCAAUGCCGCGUGUGUGAAGAAGGCCUUCGGGUUGUAAAGCACUUUUAUCAGGAGCGAAAUACCACGGGUUAAUACCCUAUGGGGCUGACGGUACCUGAGGAAUAAGCACCGGCUAACUUCGUGCCAGCAGCCGCGGUAAUACGAAGGGUGCAAGCGUUAAUCGGAAUUACUGGGCGUAAAGGGUGCGUAGGCGGUUACUUAAGUCUGUCGUGAAAUCCCCGGGCUCAACCUGGGAAUGGCGAUGGAUACUGGGUGGCUAGAGUGUGUCAGAGGAUGGUGGAAUUCCCGGUGUAGCGGUGAAAUGCGUAGAGAUCGGGAGGAACAUCAGUGGCGAAGGCGGCCAUCUGGGACAACACUGACGC
Molecule: ribosomal RNA, 686 nt
Filed under: uncultured bacterium
Lineage: Bacteria
Description: bacterial SSU rRNA
Rfam family: Bacterial small subunit ribosomal RNA
Source: RNAcentral